CCUACGGGAGGCAGCAGUGGGGAAUAUUGCACAAUGGGGGAAACCCUGAUGCAGCGACGCCGCGUGAAGGAAGAAGUAUUUCGGUAUGUAAACCUCUAUCAGCAGGGAAGAAAAUGACGGUACCUGACUAAGAAGCCCCGGCUAACUACGUGCCAGCAGCCGCGGUAAUACGUAGGGGGCAAGCGUUAUCCGGAUUUACUGGGUGUAAAGGGAGCGUAGGCGGGUUAGCAAGUUAGAAGUGAAAGCCCGGGGCUCAACUCCGGAACUGCUUUUGAAACUGUGGAACUAGAGUGCAGGAGAGGUAAGUGGAAUUCCUAGUGUAGCGGUGAAAUGCGUAGAUAUUAGGAGGAACACCAGUGGCGAAGGCGGCUUACUGGACUGUAAAUGACGCUGAGGCUCGAAAGCGUGGGGAGCAAACAGGAUUAGAUACCCUUGUAGUC
This 440-nucleotide ribosomal RNA is filed under the name uncultured bacterium. RNAcentral describes it as "partial 16S ribosomal RNA". It matches the Rfam family "Bacterial small subunit ribosomal RNA", at positions 338 to 795 of the family's 1533-position model. The record is from RNAcentral.